RNAcentral lists this long non-coding RNA (492 nucleotides) under Mytilus galloprovincialis (Mediterranean mussel). The record is from RNAcentral. Lineage: Eukaryota; Metazoa; Mollusca; Bivalvia; Mytilida; Mytilidae.
AGCUGGUGGACUGGUGAUCAUUGUAGAACACUUUUGGACUUUAAACUUAAAAUAUUUAAAAAACUGAAGCAAAUUUUAAAAAGAGAGUACAUUUGGUCUGUUUGUCAGAUCUACAUGUACCUGUUUUGGUACAUCCGAAGUUCCGGGAACAAGUUCUUUCUAUAAUGCAUGUAAGGUAUGUUGAUUUUUUCAGUAAAAGAUACCAUAAAGUGUUGCUUUGACAUGCAAUGAUUUCCACUUAAUAUGAACUUAAAAUGAAAGAGGUGUGCCUGGUUGAAAUGGAGGAAUUUUACAUAGAAAGUAAUGGGACAAUAAAUUAGUGGUGUACUUCCUAGACUUCUAUUUGUAUUCCUUUUUAAAAGGUCUGAAUAGAGUGAAAAAAGGCAUUACAAAAUGUUCAUCUUAGCCCCACCUAAAAAUGCGGAUUGGAUUUCUUUUUGUUGUCAUGUUCAAGACGUAUCAUUGGUCUUGUUGAAAACACACUCAUGAACC